UGGGGAAUCUUGGACAAUGGGGGCAACCCUGAUCCAGCCAUGCCGCGUGAGUGAUGAAGGCCUUAGGGUCGUAAAGCUCUUUCGCCUGUGAAGAUAAUGACGGUAGCAGGUAAAGAAACCCCGGCUAACUCCGUGCCAGCAGCCGCGGUAAUACGGAGGGGGUUAGCGUUGUUCGGAAUUACUGGGCGUAAAGCGCACGUAGGCGGACCAGAAAGUUGGGGGUGAAAUCCCGGGGGCUCAACCCCGGAACUGCCUCCAAAACUAUUGGUCUAGAGUUCGAGAGAGGUGAGUGGAAUUCCGAGUGUAGAGGUGAAAUUCGUAGAUAUUUGGAGGAACACCAGUGGCGAAGGCGGCUCACUGGCUCGAUACUGACGCUGAGGUGCGAAAGUGUGGGGAGCAAACAGGAUUAGAUACCCUGGUAGUCCACACCGUAAACGAUGAAUGCCAGUCGUCGGGUAGCAUGCUAUUCGGUGACACACCUAACGGAUUAAGCAUUCCGCCUGGGGAGUACGGUCGCAGAUUAAAA
RNAcentral lists this ribosomal RNA (526 nucleotides) under uncultured bacterium. RNAcentral's name for it is "bacterial SSU rRNA". It matches the Rfam family "Bacterial small subunit ribosomal RNA", at positions 355 to 899 of the family's 1533-position model. The record is from RNAcentral.